UUACAUCGUAACAUUAAAUAAUAGAUGGGGAUACAUACAAAGGGCAUAGCAAUGCCACGAGGAUAUAUCAAACAUCAUCCAUGAGAACAACAUCCGACUACGGAUGAAACACAAACACAAACUCAAACGACAUCCACCCUGCUAGCCCAGGCUGCCGACCAGGAACCUAUCCCCUGAUCGAAGAAGAAGCAGAAGGACUCGAAAACAGGCAAGCAUCGCUCUCACGUCGGAUCAUCGCAUUACAUGUACCUGCAACUGUUGUUGCGGUAAUCUGUGAGCCACGAGGACUCAGCAAUCCCAUUACCAUGGGUAUCAAGACUAGCAAAGCUUAAUGGGUAUGCAAAGGAUAAGUUGUGAGGCUGCAGCAGCACUAAGCAAUGUAUGGUGGCUAACUUAUGAGUACAAGAAUAAGAUGAGAACCUACGCAACAGUCGCAAACUAGUAAUGAUGAAGAAGUGAUCCGGAACUACUUACGGUCAAACAUAACCCAACCGUGUUCUCUUCUCGAACUCACCCGAAAAGAGACAGUCACGGUUAUGCACGCGGUUAGUUAUUUAAUUGAGUUUAGUUCAAGUUCACUACAACCGGAUAUUAAAAACUCCCAUCUACCACAUAACCGCUGGCACGGGUUUCGAAAUAUCAAACCCUGCAGGGGUGUCCCAACUUAGCCCAUGACAAGCUCUAACAAUCAAUGGAGGAUAAUCCUCCUCCCAGAACAACCCGAUCAAGCUCGGAAUCCCGGUUCACAAGACAUUUCGACAAUGGUAAAACAAGUCCAGCAAGUCCUCCCGACACGCCGACACCUUGAUAGUAGGCGUGUAUCUCAUCUCAGGCCACGGUCGGAUGAGCACAGCGUACAACACCUGAGAUUUGAGUUGCCCCGGGGGAAGCCGCACACGACUCUAGUUUGGGACCAACACCAUCAGUACUGCCCCCUGUAUUAUGUUUUAUAACAAACCUCGGGCAGUGCUAACUUCCUAUGCGUCAAGUUUAUUAUCAUGUUUAGUUAUUAUGUUGGGCAAUUGGUAAAACAAAUGUUGGGUCUUGCUGGAGGAGUUUUAUUCAAAGAGAACUAUCAAGGGGGCCCCGUAAACACCAACCGUGUUAGGAACGCAAAAUCAAGGAACAUAACACCGAUAUGACGGAAACUAGGGCGGCAUGAGUAAAACAAAUCACCAGGCAAAAGGCCGAGGCUUCCACCCAUUACCAUGUAUAUAUGUGCAUUAAUUAAAUAAGAGAUAUUGUGAUAUUCCAUGAUAUCCAUGUCCCUACAUGGAACAACCUGCACCGCACCUGCAACUAGCAACGCUAUAAGAGGUGCUGAGCAAAGCGGUAACAUAGCCAAACAAUGGUUUGUUGGGAUGGUGAAAAAGGUUAGAGACUGUUCAUGGCAAUUUGGGAGGCUUGAUAAACAAGUGGUAGGUAGCGCGACAUAGCGAUAGCAUCAGGACAACUCGCAAAGCAAAGAUAGUUAGUGAGAUCCAAGGUGACGGUCAUCUUGCCUGAAAUCCCGCUAGGAAGAAGACCGAGUCCAUGAAGUAGACGAACGGGCGUAGACAAACCAAGAGUAGUGGAACGAAUCCUCACGAUCGCAACCAAACAUGAACUAUCGAGAAGAAGCACAAUCGGAAAGAAGCAAACAACAUGGUAAACACACAAGCAUAAAAUGACAUGAAAAGAACACAUGGUACAUGCAUGAUGAACAUGAAUGCAUAUGAAGAACGUUAUGCAUGGAGCUACGGUUCUACCGGAACGAGGGGUACGUCAACGGGACGGAAAUGGUGAAGACAAGAUGGAUAUAGUGGAAGAUUUUGGUUGAAAUCGGUAUAAAGUUCACUGGAAACGGAUGCACGGUUUGCAAAUGACGAACAAAACGAUAUGCAAUGCAAUGCUGUCAAAAACAGCAGCAUGCCAACUUAGAUGCAAAGUUUAACUAUGCUACAGCAUAGCAACAUGAAAACAAAGGGCAUGGCAGUGAAGUACAUGUCAAGCAAUACAAAACAUGAUUACUCAGCUACUGCUAGAAUCCACUAGAACAUGUUUAAAACAGCAUGACAAAAUUGCAAAUGAUAACAGGUUUUCAGACUUGGUGGAAUUUACUGGACAUGACAGAAACAGAAAUGAGUAGGCAUGUUUGCAAGCCUGGUUAACUCACCUCAAAUCAUAUAAAGGCAUGCAAGCGCAAUCAACAGCCCGAUGGCAUGUUUGUGCAACUACGCAUGUCAAGAAUAUGGUCAUAGGAUGCACAUAACUCUAACUAUACACUUUGAAAAAGUGAACUUGAUGUUCAGAGGCUGACAGAUAUAUUUCAAGCAACUUGAGAGCCUGAAAGAACAAGCUACAGUAGGCUAUAAUUGCAAAUAAGGGCAUGCAUGGAUAGAUCAUAACAUGAUCUUCAAAAUAUCGUUACUGGACAUCUCCAAAAUAUGCAUAGAUUUGAUGGUAGCAUCAAGUAAACAUGGCAUCAUAAUAUAACAGUUUCAGACGGCAAAAUGAGCAUGACAUGGCAAAAUAGAUUCAUGUUAUCAUGUUUUCAAGCUUGUGGCACUCAUCACAGUGCACUUUAUAACAUGGCAUAAAAUCUAGCAUGAAGAUGGCAUGUAAAAGAGCAUGUUCAUGAACAAAGUUAUAACAUAUCACAUCUGCAUAAUUAUCCACAUAAAUGACAAGAGAGCAAUGUAAUGUAAAAUGAUAUGUGUGCAAACUUGCUUAAUGAAGAAAUGGAUGCCACCAAUGGAUUCAUUGGAUUUUUCUACCCCAAAUACAUAUAUAAUAGGUUUGGGUCACUUUAGAAAAAUCACCACAAAUGCUUAAAAUGCACUACUGCCUAAAUGAGAAAAGAUAGAAUAGGCAAUUUUCAGAAUUGGAAAUGUCCAUAAAUGGACUUGCCCGAAUAGGAACGAUUUUGUUGCCAGAAAAGGAAUAGUCUGUGUAAUUAAAAUAAAAGAUAAAGAAUAAGAGGGGGAGAGGCUGACAUGUGGGACCUGGGAGGGCUGUGAGUAUGACAGGUGGGGACCACCUGUCAGUAACCCAUUUGAACAAGAGAGUAAUGUAAUGUAAAAUGACAUGUGUGCAAACUUGAUCAAAUGAAGAAAUGGAUGCCACCAAUGGAUUCAUUGGAUCUUUCUACCCCAAAAACAUAUAUAAUAGGUUGCGUCACUUUAGAAAAAUCACCACAAAUUCUUAAAAUGCACUACUGCCUAAAAGGGAAAAGACAAAAUAGGCAAUUUUCAGAAUUGGAAAUGUCCAUAAAUGGACUUGCCCGAAUAGGAAAGAUUCCAUUGCUAGAAAAGGAAUAGUCUCUGCAAUUAAAAUAAAAUAUAAAGAAUAAGAGGGGGAGAGGCUGACAUGUGGGACCUGGGAGGGGUGUGAGUAUGACAGGUGGGGACCACCUGUCAGUGACCCAUUUGAAUAAAAAAGGGGGGUUUUAAUUUGCGCCCGCGGGGAAUCGAACCCGGGUCACCUGGGUGGAGCAGUGUGGCUCGAGCCACUUGGCUAGAGAGGGAGUACUGAUCGGAGAGGGGCUCGACCCCCUUUGAAUCAACUCCAGCGAGGGGUAGGCCCACGCGUCAGUGAGAGAAGGACAAGGGAAAACAGAGGAGGUGCUCGCCGGGGUGCAGAGAAGGCGAAGAGCUUGUCAGAGUCUCGCCGGUGGCCAAAUGGCUCGGCAGAUGAGUGCAAAGGGACCACCAAGUGAUCCCACGCACGCGCAUGCGACUCGCCGUACCAGACGAAGACUAGGGCGACACCGGCGACGAGGUACGGAGGCGGCGACGACGAGCUUGUGCUCGACGGAGAUGUGACCAAACACGGCAAGAACGAGGCGGGAUUGGCUCUGUGGGACAACAGGAACAUGCCAGACACAUGCAAGAGACCUAAGAGGGUCGGAGCACUCGCCGGAGAUGAGGUUCGACGCGAUGGGCUCGGUCGCGCGCGGCUAGCGUGAGUAGAGCAUGCAAAAGAGGGGGAGAAGGACACGGGAAGGUGCGCGCACGUACCACAAGCAUGGCAGUGUUCUUGGACGGCCGAGGGGAGGUCGGAGGCGACGACGGCGACGAGCGAACACGUUCGGCAGCAGGAGAUGAAGAAGAAGGAGGCAUCGCGGGAGAGGAUGCAGGCUCCACGUAGUCGACGUCGGGGACGUCGUGGUCGUCAUGGAAGAAGUAGGACGUGCUCGAGGGGGCUAGAUCUGUCGGAG
Molecule: long non-coding RNA, 4198 nt
Filed under: Triticum aestivum (bread wheat)
Lineage: Eukaryota; Viridiplantae; Streptophyta; Magnoliopsida; Poales; Poaceae
Description: long non-coding RNA (TAES_LNC004485)
Source: RNAcentral